Molecule: ribosomal RNA, 433 nt
Filed under: uncultured bacterium
Lineage: Bacteria
Description: partial 16S ribosomal RNA
Rfam family: Bacterial small subunit ribosomal RNA
Source: RNAcentral
AACGAACGCUGGCGGCAUGCCUAACACAUGCAAGUCGAACGAGACCUUCGGGUCUAGUGGCGCACGGCUGCGUAACGCGUGGGAACCUGCCCUUAGGUUCGGAAUAACUCCCCGAAAGGGGUGCUAAUACCGGAUAAUGUCUUCGGACCAAAGAUUUAUCGCCUUUGGAUGGGCCCGCGUUGGAUUAGCUAGUUGGUAGGGUAAAAGCCUACCAAGGCGACGAUCCAUAGCUGGUCUGAGAGGAUGAUCAGCCACACUGGGACUGAGACACGGCCCAGACUCCUACGGGAGGCAGCAGUGGGGAAUAUUGGACAAUGGGCGAAAGCCUGAUCCAGCAAUGCCGCGUGAGUGAUGAAGGCCUUAGGGUUGUAAAGCUCUUUUACCCGGGAUGAUAAUGACAGUACCGGGAGAAUAAGCUCCGGCUAACUCCGUG